GAUGAAAACGUAGCGAAAUGCGAUACGUAAUGUGAAUUGCAGAAUUCAGUGAAUCAUCGAAUCUUUGAACGCAUAUUGCGCUCUCUGGUAUUCCGGAGAGCAUGCUUGUUUGAGUAUCAGUAAACACCUCAACUUCCAUAUCUUUUUUGAAAUGGGAGUUGGACUUGAGUGAUCCCAACGCUUUUCCUCACCGAAAAGUGGCGGGUUACUUGAAAUGCAGGUGCAGCUGGACUUUUCUCUGAGCUAUAAGCAUAUCUAUUUAGUCUGCCUAAAAAACAGAUUAUUACCUUUGCUGCAGCUAACAUAAAGGAGAUUAGUUCUUGUGCUGACUGAUGCAGGAUUCACAAAGACAGGCUUCGGCCGACUUUGUAAACUCGAUCUCAAAUCAAGUAAGACUACCCGCUGAACUUAAGCAUAUCAAUAAGCGGAGGA
This 432-nucleotide unclassified non-coding RNA is filed under the name soil metagenome. RNAcentral describes it as "partial contains 5.8S ribosomal RNA, internal transcribed spacer 2, and large subunit ribosomal RNA". The stretch from base 1 to 119 matches the Rfam family "5.8S ribosomal RNA", at positions 35 to 154 of the family's 154-position model. The record is from RNAcentral.